AUUGAACGCUGGCGGCAUGCUUUACACAUGCAAGUCGAACGGUAACAGGCCGCAAGGUGCUGACGAGUGGCGAACGGGUGAGUAAUGCAUCGGAACGUGCCCAGUCGUGGGGGAUAACUAUCCGAAAGGAUAGCUAAUACCGCAUACGAUCUGCGGAUGAAAGCGGGGGACCUUCGGGCACCGCGCGAUUGGAGCGGCCGAUGUCAGAUUAGGUAGUUGGUGGGGUAAAGGCUCACCAAGCCAACGAUCUGUAGCUGGUCUGAGAGGACGACCAGCCACACUGGGACUGAAACACGGCCCAGACUCCUACGGGAGGCAGCAGUGGGGAAUUUUGGACAAUGGGCGCAAGCCUGAUCCAGCAAUGCCGCGUGCAGGAAGAAGGCCUUCGGGUUGUAAACUGCUUUUGUACGGAACGAAACGGCUCUGGUUAAUACCUGGGGCUAAUGACGGUACCGUAAGAAUAAGCACCGGCUAACUACGUGCCAGCAGCCGCCGUAA
RNAcentral lists this ribosomal RNA (498 nucleotides) under uncultured bacterium. RNAcentral describes it as "partial 16S ribosomal RNA". It matches the Rfam family "Bacterial small subunit ribosomal RNA", at positions 30 to 523 of the family's 1533-position model. The record is from RNAcentral.